Molecule: ribosomal RNA, 253 nt
Filed under: uncultured bacterium
Lineage: Bacteria
Description: partial 16S ribosomal RNA
Rfam family: Bacterial small subunit ribosomal RNA
Source: RNAcentral
UACGAGGGGGGCGAGCGUUGUUCGGAAUUAUUGGGCGUAAAGGGUGCGUAGGCGGUUCCGCAAGUCCUGUGUGAAAUCUUCGGGCUCAACUCGAAGUCUGCACGGGAAACUGCGGGGCUUGAGUGUGGGAGAGGUGAGUGGAAUUCCCGGUGUAGCAGUGAAAUGCGUAGAGAUCGGGAGGAACACCAGUGGCGAAGGCGACUACCUGGACCAGCACUGACACUGAGGCACGAAAGCGUGGGGAGCAAACAGG